This 473-nucleotide ribosomal RNA is filed under the name Micrococcineae bacterium CL2.144. Its description in RNAcentral is "bacterial SSU rRNA". It matches the Rfam family "Bacterial small subunit ribosomal RNA", at positions 17 to 503 of the family's 1533-position model. Lineage: Bacteria; Bacillati; Actinomycetota; Actinomycetes; Micrococcales. RNAcentral also lists the same sequence under 1 other name. The record is from RNAcentral.
CCCUGGCUCAGGAUGAACGCGGGCGGCGUGCUUAACACAUGCAAGUCGAACGAUGAUCCCAGCUUGCUGGGGGAUUAGUGGCGAACGGGUGAGUAACACGUGAGUAACCUGCCCUUAACUCUGGGAUAAGCCUGGGAAACUGGGUCUAAUACCGGAUAUGACUCCUCAUCGCAUGGUGGGGGGUGGAAAGCUUUAUUGUGGUUUUGGAUGGACUCGCGGCCUAUCAGCUUGUUGGUGAGGUAAUGGCUCACCAAGGCGACGACGGGUAGCCGGCCUGAGAGGGUGACCGGCCACACUGGGACUGAGACACGGCCCAGACUCCUACGGGAGGCAGCAGUGGGGAAUAUUGCACAAUGGGCGAAAGCCUGAUGCAGCGACGCCGCGUGAGGGAUGACGGCCUUCGGGUUGUAAACCUCUUUCAGUAGGGAAGAAGCGAAAGUGACGGUACCUGCAGAAGAAGCGCCGGCUAACUA